CAAAUGAAUUGACGGGGGCCCGCACAAGCGGUGGAGCAUGUGGUUUAAUUAGAAGCAACGCGAAGAACCUUCCCUGGCCUUGACAUGCUGAGAACUUUCCAGAGAUGGAUUGGUGCCUUCGGGAACUCAGACACAGGUGCUGCAUGGCUGUCGUCAGCUCGCGUCCUGAGAUGUUGGGUUAAGUCCCGUAUCGAGCGCAACCCUUGUCCCUUAGUUACCAGCACGUUAUGGUGGGCACUCUAAGGAGACUGCCGGUGCCAAACCGGAGGAAGGUGGGGAUGACGUCAAGUCAUCAUGGCCCUUACGGCCAUGGGUCUACACACGUGCUACAAUGGUCGGUACAAAGGGUUGCCAAGCCGCGAGGUGGAGCUAAUCUCCAUAAAACCGAUCGUAGUCCGGAUCCGCAGUCUGCAACUCGCACUGCGUGAAGCUCGGAAUCGCUAGUAAUCGUGAAUCAGAAUGUCACGGUGAAUACGUUCCCCGGCCCUCGUACACACCGC
RNAcentral lists this ribosomal RNA (500 nucleotides) under Pseudomonas sp. Its description in RNAcentral is "bacterial SSU rRNA". It matches the Rfam family "Bacterial small subunit ribosomal RNA", at positions 902 to 1393 of the family's 1533-position model. Lineage: Bacteria; Pseudomonadati; Pseudomonadota; Gammaproteobacteria; Pseudomonadales; Pseudomonadaceae. The record is from RNAcentral.